RNAcentral lists this ribosomal RNA (501 nucleotides) under uncultured bacterium. RNAcentral's name for it is "bacterial SSU rRNA". It matches the Rfam family "Bacterial small subunit ribosomal RNA", at positions 18 to 507 of the family's 1533-position model. The record is from RNAcentral.
CCUGGCUCAGGAUGAACGCUAGCUACAGGCUUAACACAUGCAAGUCGAGGGGAAACGAUAGAGAAAGCUUGCUUUUUCUAGGCGUCGACCGGCGCACGGGUGAGUAACGCGUAUCCAACCUGCCCAUCACUUGGGGAUAACCUUGCGAAAGUAAGACUAAUACCCAAUGACGUCUCUAGAAGACAUCUGAAAGAGAUUAAAGAUUUAUCGGUGAUGGAUGGGGAUGCGUCUGAUUAGCUUGUUGGCGGGUAACGGCCCACCAAGGCGACGAUCAGUAGGGGUUCUGAGAGGAAGGUCCCCCACAUUGGAACUGAGACACGGUCCAAACUCCUACGGAAGGCAGCAGUGAGGAAUAUUGGUCAAUGGACGAGAGUCUGAACCAGCCAAGUAGCGUGCAGGAUGACGGCCCUAUGGGUUGUAAACUGCUUUUAUAAGGGAAUAAAGUGGGAGUCGUGACUCUUUUUGCAUGUACCUUAUGAAUAAGGACCGGCUAAUUCCGUG